AUAAUAAAGAUUUAUCGGUAAAAGAUGGGCAUGCGUAUCAUUAGCUAGUUGGUGUGGUAACGGCAUACCAAGGCUACGAUGAUUAGGGGUCCUGAGAGGGAGAUCCCCCACACUGGUACUGAGACACGGACCAGACUCCUACGGGAGGCAGCAGUGAGGAAUAUUGGUCAAUGGAGGCAACUCUGAACCAGCCAUGCCGCGUGCAGGAUGACGGUCCUAUGGAUUGUAAACUGCUUUUGUACGGGAAGAAAUGUAAUUACGUGUAAUUAUUUGACGGUACCGUAAGAAUAAGGAUCGGCUAACUCCGUGCCAGCAGCCGCGGUAAUACGGAGGAUCCGAGCGUUAUCCGGAAUUAUUGGGUUUAAAGGGUUCGUAGGCGGUUUAGUAAGUCAGUGGUGAAAUCUUGCAGCUUAACUGUAAAAUUGCCGUUGAUACUGCUAAACUUGAAUAGUAUGGAAGUAAUUAGAAUAUGUAGUGUAGCGGUGAAAUGCUUAGAUAUUACAUGGAAUACCAAUUGCGAAGGCAGAUUACUACGUACUUAUUGACGCUGAUGAACGAAAGCGUGGGUAGCGAACAGGAUUAGAUACCCUGGUAGUCCACGCCGUAAACGAUGGAUACUAGCUGUUCGGUCUUCGGAUUGAGUGGCUAAGCGAAAGUGAUAAGUAUCCCACCUGGGGAGUACGUUCGCAAGAAUGAAACUCAAAGGAAUUGACGGGGGCCCGCACAAGCGGUGGAGCAUGUGGUUUAAUUCGAUGAUACGCGAGGAACCUUACCAAGGCUUAAAUGUAGAUUGACAGGUUUAGAGAUAGACUUUCAUUCGGGCAAUUUACAAGGUGCUGCAUGGUUGUCGUCAGCUCGUGCCGUGAGGUGUCAGGUUAAGUCCUAUAACGAGCGCAACCCCUAUUGUUAGUUGCCAGCGGGUGAUGCCGGGAACUCUAACAAGACUGCCGGUGCAAACCGUGAGGAAGGUGGGGAUGACGUCAAAUCAUCACGGCCCUUACGUCUUGGGCUACACACGUGCUACAAUGGCCAGUACAGAAAGCAGCUACCAGGCAACUGGAUGCGAAUCUCAAAAGCUGGUCUCAGUUCGGAUUGGAGUCUGCAACUCGACUCUAUGAAGCUGGAAUCG
Molecule: ribosomal RNA, 1129 nt
Filed under: bacterium
Lineage: Bacteria
Description: bacterial SSU rRNA
Rfam family: Bacterial small subunit ribosomal RNA
Source: RNAcentral